RNAcentral lists this ribosomal RNA (564 nucleotides) under Streptomyces toxytricini. Its description in RNAcentral is "bacterial SSU rRNA". It matches the Rfam family "Bacterial small subunit ribosomal RNA", at positions 93 to 671 of the family's 1533-position model. Lineage: Bacteria; Bacillati; Actinomycetota; Actinomycetes; Kitasatosporales; Streptomycetaceae. The record is from RNAcentral.
UAGUGGCGAACGGGUGAGUAACACGUGGGCAAUCUGCCCUUCACUCUGGGACAAGCCCUGGAAACGGGGUCUAAUACCGGAUACGACUGCGGAAGGCAUCUUCCGCGGUGGAAAGCUCCGGCGGUGAAGGAUGAGCCCGCGGCCUAUCAGCUUGUUGGUGGGGUAAUGGCCUACCAAGGCGACGACGGGUAGCCGGCCUGAGAGGGCGACCGGCCACACUGGGACUGAGACACGGCCCAGACUCCUACGGGAGGCAGCAGUGGGGAAUAUUGCACAAUGGGCGAAAGCCUGAUGCAGCGACGCCGCGUGAGGGAUGACGGCCUUCGGGUUGUAAACCUCUUUCAGCAGGGAAGAAGCGAAAGUGACGGUACCUGCAGAAGAAGCGCCGGCUAACUACGUGCCAGCAGCCGCGGUAAUACGUAGGGCGCAAGCGUUGUCCGGAAUUAUUGGGCGUAAAGAGCUCGUAGGCGGCCAGUCACGUCGGAUGUGAAAGCCCGAGGCUUAACCUCGGGUCUGCAUUCGAUACGGGCUGGCUAGAGUGUGGUAGGGGAGAUCGGAAUUCCU